ACGGGCGUACCUGCAGAAUAAGCACCGGCUAAAUUACGUGCCAGCAGCCGCGGUAAUACGUAGGGUGCAAGCGUUAAUCGGAAUUACUGGGCGUAAAGCGUGCGCAGGCGGUUCGGAAAGAAAGAUGUGAAAUCCCAGAGCUUAACUUUGGAACUGCAUUUUUAACUACCGAGCUAGAGUGUGUCAGAGGGAGGUGGAAUUCCGCGUGUAGCAGUGAAAUGCGUAGAUAUGCGGAGGAACACCGAUGGCGAAGGCAGCCUCCUGGGAUAACACUGACGUUCAUGCACGAAAGCGUGGGGAGCAAACAGGAUUAGAUACCCUGGUAGUCCACGCCCUAAACGAUGUCAACUAGCUGUUGGGGCCUUCGGGCCUUGGUAGCGCAGCUAACGCGUGAAGUUGACCGCCUGGGGAGUACGGUCGCAAGAUUAAAACUCAAAGGAAUUGACGGGGACCCGCACAAGCGGUGGAUGAUGUGGAUUAAUUCGAUGCAACGCGAAAAACCUUACCUACCCUUGACAUGUCUGGAAUCCUGAAGAGAUUUAGGAGUGCUCGCAAGAGAACCGGAACACAGGUGCUGCAUGGCCGUCGUCAGCUCGUGUCGUGAGAUGUUGGGUUAAGUCCCGCAACGAGCGCAACCCUUGUCAUUAGUUGCUACGAAAGGGCACUCUAAUGAGACUGCCGGUGACAAACCGGAGGAAGGUGGGGAUGACGUCAAGUCCUCAUGGCCCUUAUGGGUAGGGCUUCACACGUCAUACAAUGGUCGGGACAGAGGGUCGCCAACCCGCGAGGGGGAGCCAAUCCCAGAAACCCGAUCGUAGUCCGGAUCGCAGUCUGCAACUCGACUGCGUGAAGUCGGAAUCGCUAGUAAUCGCGGAUCAGCAUGUCGCGGUGAAUACGUUCCCGGGUCUUGUACACACCGCCCGUCACACCAUGGGAGUGGGUUUUACCAGAAGUAGUUAGCCUAACCGCAAGGGGGGCGC
Molecule: ribosomal RNA, 980 nt
Filed under: Achromobacter sp.
Lineage: Bacteria; Pseudomonadati; Pseudomonadota; Betaproteobacteria; Burkholderiales; Alcaligenaceae
Description: bacterial SSU rRNA
Rfam family: Bacterial small subunit ribosomal RNA
Source: RNAcentral